Danio rerio (zebrafish) is the source of this 522-nucleotide non-coding RNA. Lineage: Eukaryota; Metazoa; Chordata; Actinopteri; Cypriniformes; Danionidae. The record is from Ensembl.
UAUUCUCCACCACCAGAAUCUUGUACAUAACCAAAAGAAAAUAGAACAUUUUAAUAAAUUGUUCCAUGGCAACCGUACUUUGGAAUCUGAUUUUAAUGCCCACAGUUUCACGGACAAGCACGUGUUUUCUGACUUGGAGAUUGUACCUGAUCAUGAGCCAGUGCUAAAUAAUAUGCCAAUAAUUAGUGAGCACACUUCCACCCUCUGUUAAGACUGAUAAGAGAUCCUUAGUGAACCAACACAACAACUUGCCUGUUCAAACCUCCACUGGGAGUAUUUUCACUCUGGAAUGUGUGCAGCCAAACAAGGCAUGCUGGACCCAGCCACCCAGUCCAGUCCAGCUGGCGAAGUUAAACCAUGCCUUACUGGAGAGAGGGCCAAAAGAUGAAUUCCUAGCAUCUGUUGGAGGAACAGUCCUCACAAGGUUGGAUUUCCAAACAUUGGGACUACUUCAAGAUGUAGAGGCGACAGUAAGAUUCUGCAAACACAUUUUGGUAUAUUAAUACCUUAACCCAAGUAGUA